GGCAGGUAGCCUAGUGGUUAGAGUGUAGGGGUGGCAGGUAGCCUAGUGGUUAGAGUGUAGGGGCGGCAGGUAGCCUAGUGGUUAGAGUGUAGGGGUGGCAGGUAGCCUAGUGGUUAGAGUGUAGGGGUGGCAGGUAGUCUAGUGGGUAGAGUGUAGGGGUGGCAGGUAGCCUAGUGGUUAGAGUGUACAGGUGGCAGGUAGUCUAGUGGGUAGAGUGUAGAGGUGGCAGGUAGCCUAGUGGUUAGAGUGUAGGGGUGGCAGG
Oncorhynchus tshawytscha (Chinook salmon) is the source of this 262-nucleotide long non-coding RNA. The record is from Ensembl. Lineage: Eukaryota; Metazoa; Chordata; Actinopteri; Salmoniformes; Salmonidae.